GACGAACGCUGGCGGCGUGCCUAAUACAUGCAAGUAGAACGCUGAAGGAGGAGCUUGCUCUUCUGGAUGAGUUGCGAACGGGUGAGUAACGCGUAGGUAACCUGCCUGGUAGCGGGGGAUAACUAUUGGAAACGAUAGCUAAUACCGCAUAACAGUAGAUGUUGCAUGACAUUUGCUUAAAAGGUGCAAUUGCACCACUACCAGAUGGACCUGCGUUGUAUUAGCUAGUUGGUGGGGUAACGGCUCACCAAGGCGUCGAUACAUAGCCGACCUGAGAGGGUGAUCGGCCACACUGGGACUGAGACACGGCCCAGACUCCUACGGGAGGCAGCAGUAGGGAAUCUUCGGCAAUGGACGGAAGUCUGACCGAGCAACGCCGCGUGAGUGAAGAAGGUUUUCGGAUCGUAAAGCUCUGUUGUAAGAGAAGAACGAGUGUGAGAGUGGAAAGUUCACACUGUGACGGUAUCUUACCAGAAAGGGACGGCUAACUACGUG
RNAcentral lists this ribosomal RNA (495 nucleotides) under uncultured bacterium. RNAcentral describes it as "partial 16S ribosomal RNA". It matches the Rfam family "Bacterial small subunit ribosomal RNA", at positions 28 to 507 of the family's 1533-position model. The record is from RNAcentral.